UACGUAGGUGGCAAGCGUUGUCCGGAUUUACUGGGUGUAAAGGGCGUGCAGCCGGAGAGACAAGUCAGAUGUGAAAUCCACGGGCUCAACCCGUGAACUGCAUUUGAAACUGUUUCCCUUGAGUGUCGGAGAGGUAAUCGGAAUUCCUUGUGUAGCGGUGAAAUGCGUAGAUAUCAGGAGGAACACCGGUGGCGAAGGCGGCCUGCUGGACUGCAACUGACGUUGAGGCCCGAAAGCGUGGGGAGCAAACAGG
RNAcentral lists this ribosomal RNA (253 nucleotides) under uncultured bacterium. Its description in RNAcentral is "partial 16S ribosomal RNA". It matches the Rfam family "Bacterial small subunit ribosomal RNA", at positions 524 to 776 of the family's 1533-position model. The record is from RNAcentral.